AUGUACCCACGUACACUCCGGUUCCUCCGCGCCGCCCGCACCCACCUGACGGCUGCUCGCGACGUUUUGUUAGCC
Molecule: small RNA, 75 nt
Filed under: Xanthomonas campestris
Lineage: Bacteria; Pseudomonadati; Pseudomonadota; Gammaproteobacteria; Lysobacterales; Lysobacteraceae
Also listed under: 3 other names
Description: sRNA sX9
Rfam family: Xanthomonas sRNA sX9
Source: RNAcentral